Molecule: ribosomal RNA, 292 nt
Filed under: uncultured bacterium
Lineage: Bacteria
Description: partial 16S ribosomal RNA
Rfam family: Bacterial small subunit ribosomal RNA
Source: RNAcentral
GUGCCAGCCGCCGCGGUAAGACAGAGGUGCCAAGCGUUAGGCGGAAUCACUGGGCUUAAAGCGUGUGUAGGUGGAUGCCUAAGUACCUUGUGAAAUCCCACGGCUCAACCGUGGAACUGCUUGGUAUACUGGGUGUCUUGAGCCAACUAGGGGCAGCCGGAACAAACGGUGGAGCGGUGAAAUGCGUAGAUAUCGUUUGGAACGCCAACGGUGAAAACAGGCUGCUGGGGUUGUGCUGACACUGAGACACGAAAGCCAGGGGAGCAAACGGGAUUAGAAACCCGUGUAGUCC